ACCUGGGUGGCUCAGUCGGUUAAGCAUCUGACUUCAGCUCAGGUCAUGAUCUCACAGUUCAUGGGUUCGAGCCCCAUGUCAGGCU
RNAcentral lists this transfer RNA (85 nucleotides) under Felis catus (domestic cat). It matches the Rfam family "tRNA". Rfam says of the family: Transfer RNA (tRNA) molecules are approximately 80 nucleotides in length. Their secondary structure includes four short double-helical elements and three loops (D, anti-codon, and T loops). Further hydrogen bonds mediate the characteristic L-shaped molecular structure. tRNAs have two regions of fundamental functional importance: the anti-codon, which is responsible for specific mRNA codon recognition, and the 3' end, to which the tRNAs corresponding amino acid is attached (by aminoacyl-tRNA synthetases). tRNAs cope with the degeneracy of the genetic code in two manners: having more than one tRNA (with a specific anti-codon) for a particular amino acid; and 'wobble' base-pairing, i.e. permitting non-standard base-pairing at the 3rd anti-codon position. Lineage: Eukaryota; Metazoa; Chordata; Mammalia; Carnivora; Felidae. RNAcentral also lists the same sequence under 2 other names. The record is from Rfam by way of RNAcentral.